RNAcentral lists this ribosomal RNA (479 nucleotides) under uncultured bacterium. Its description in RNAcentral is "bacterial SSU rRNA". It matches the Rfam family "Bacterial small subunit ribosomal RNA", at positions 364 to 833 of the family's 1533-position model. The record is from RNAcentral.
UUUCGCAAUGCCCGAAAGGGUGACGAAGCGACGCCGCGUGGGUGAGGAAGGCCUUCGGGUUGUAAAGCCCUGUCAGGAGUUAAGAAAUGUAGAUACGCUAAUAUCGUAUCUAUUUGACAAAGGCUCCAAAGGAAGCCACGGCUAACUCUGUGCCAGCAGCCGCGGUAAUACAGAGGUGGCAAGCGUUGUUCGGAAUUAUUGGGCGUAAAGAGCACGUAGGUGGAUUUGUAAGUCAGACGUGAAAGCCUUCUGUUCAACGGAAGAAUUGCAUCUGAAACUGCAAACCUUGAGUAUAGGAGGGGAGAAUGGAACUUCUGGUGGAGCGGUGAAAUGCGUAGAUAUCAGAAGGAACGCCGGCGGCGAAAGCGAUUCUCUGGCCUAUUACUGACACUCAGUGUGCGAAAGCUAGGGGAGCAAACGGGAUUAGAUACCCCGGUAGUCCUAGCCGUAAACGAUGGGCACUAAGUAGAGGGGUUUUA